Molecule: long non-coding RNA, 1129 nt
Filed under: Homo sapiens (human)
Lineage: Eukaryota; Metazoa; Chordata; Mammalia; Primates; Hominidae
Description: non-protein coding FAM138B:1
Source: RNAcentral
CACACAACGGGGUUUCGGGGCUGUGGACCCUGUGCCAGGAAAGGAAGGGCGCAGCUCCUGCAAUGCGGAGCAGCCAGGGCAGUGGGCACCAGGCUUUAGCCUCCCUUUCUCACCCUACAGAGGGCAGGCCCUUCAGCUCCAUUCUCCUCCAAGGCUGCAGAGGGGGCAGGAAUUGGGGGUGACAGGAGAGCUGUAAGGUCUCCAGUGGGUCAUUCUGGGCCCAGAGAUGGGUGCUGAAGCUCCCACGCCUGCCUGUGAAAAUGGAGUCCUCUCUCACCUGGGAGAGCCAGGUGCUGCCCCGAGAAGGAUGCAUUUAUGGCUUCAUGAAGUCUUUCCUGACCCCCGAUGCUGCUGACUAUAGAGACAAAGUCUCACUAUGUUGCUCAGGCUGGUCUUGAACUCCUGGCCUCAAGCGAUCCUCCCACCUUAGCCUCCCAAAGAGUUGGGAUUAUAGACAUGAGCCACUGCACCUGGCCGACCUUGGGCAAGUUCUUAAACCCUUCAAAGCCUCAUUUUUCUCCAAUCAUAAAAGGGAAAGAUGGUAAUAUUUUCCCCUCCAAAUUCUUGUCGGAUGCCCUCACAGAAUUGAGAUUAUGUACGUAAAACACCAGGUGCCUAACCCGGCACAGAGCAGGAGGGCUAAGCGUGACAUCCAGCACGUGGUCAGUGGAAUCCAGUAUUCCUACCCACCUCUCUAGUCUCCCCUCCACCCCUCUCCCUUUCAGAGGCACCAAGCUGCUUGUGGUCUUGUCUAUUCCCACUCCCUGCCUGACUGAACAUUUUCUCCACCUCCUGAUCAUCAGCAGCAGAAACUGGCUGCUCUUCCUCCUGGGUAGACAGCCAGACUGUAUUUCCCAGCUGCCCCUGCAGUGAGAUGUGGCCAUCGGAGCCAGCAUUGGCCAAUGGACUCUGCAUGGGAGUGACGCAUGCUGCCUCCAGGCUUGUCCCUAAAACCUCCCACGUGUCCUCCGCCUGCUCUUCCCACUUCCAAGGAGCACGGCAAUUGUGGAAGACCCAGAUUAGUGAUGGCAGAACCAUAGAUGGGAGGAACCUGGGUCCCUGACUUAAAGUAUCAUGGAUUUGGAUGUUCCCUUAGUGAGAAAUAAACUUCCAUUGUGUUUAAGCCUUU